UUUUUUUUGUUUUUUUUGUUUGUUUGUUUUGCUUUUUAGGGUUGCACUCACAGCAUAUGGACGUUCCAAGGCUAGGAGCUGAAUUGGAGCUGUAGCUGCCACCUACACCACAGCCACAGCCACACAGCAUCCUCAUGGAUACUAGUUGGGUUCAUUUCCGCUGAGCCACAAAGGGAACUCCAGAACUUCAAGCACUUUUAACUGCUUUAUUUCUCUUGGUUUAAAAACCAAGGGAAAUUGAACCCAGAGGAACUGACUUUGCUGCCACUGUCCAAGAGGCAGCAGCAACAGCCAAUCAGACCUGGAUGCUCGGCCCUGGACCUGCAUUUUAAUCCCCAAACGCUACUUCUUCCCCGUAAUGACAGUCACCUUCCCCUUAAUUAAAAUUCCCUUACAAAUGUAGACAUUCCGCUUUUACUAAUAAUUACUUGGAGAGGAUUUUUAGCAAUCAGCACUACAUAAAUAUCCGUACCUCCUCGAAGACCCUAAGAAUUGCAGUGCUCUCCCUUCCUCUAAUUUAUUAUUUAUAUCCUGCCGCGGAUAGACAUAGCUCUUUGUGGCAAUUAAGAUGGGCCUUCCAGUCUCCUCUCGCGGAAUGAGGCUGGAGACAAGCAUUACCGCUUCGAUCACAAUUACUAUUAAUUGGAGAGCUCUCCCUUCUCUAUAAAAUAUGUACCACUCGAAAGUGCGAUCAACUGCCCAAGGAAUAUGAACUCCGUGUCGGGAGACGUAUUGUGAGGGCUUAGGAUUUAACAAGGCAUUUACCCUAUAAUUACUGGGAGGAAUCCUUGAAUGGAGCAGGGAUGACAUGCUCCCAUCAGCUGGGGUUUAGGCUCCGAGCUAAUUCUCCCACGAUGCAACGAACUCGGGGGGCGACCGCAAAUGGCAAGACACAUUGCACUGGUGCUUUGGUUCUGAAUACACUCAGAGGACCAGCAGGGAUUCUUGGCUCAGGAAACCCCUAGGCCCAGCUCCGAAGGACCAAACUCCCCCCGAGUCACCAUUUCGUUCAUUUAUUUUUUUAAGUCCCGUGCCUGCUCUAAUGCCAGACGUUGAUUCUGAAUCCAGAUCCUGGGUCUCCAAGACAGACGUGACGUCCUCCCAGCCCUAGGGAAGCAGAUCCUCUUCCGGGGGCAAUGCCGGGUCUGAUGACGCGCGGCCGACAGCGUGAAAGGAGCCAUUCCAGAGAGGACUCUUGGCCACAAAAGGAAAGAAAGAAAGAGAGAGAGAGAGGGAGGGAGGAAGGAAGGAGGAGCCAUCUGCCUGCGGAAGUUACUUAAAUUCCUGCAAGGAAAGCAGAAGGUGUUCCGGGAAAAUGCCCAAUGAGGCAAGGGUCUUUUCAAAGGCUGGGGUAUUAAAGCACGUUUAGAAUUGUGAGAAGGUCCACCUGGGUGGAUGGGGAGGUUGGUUUGUGCGCAGAGUGUGACUCAGCCCUUUAUCAAACUCCAUCAAGAAGAUUCACCUUCUCUCUCACUCGUAUUGAUUUGAAUCACCUCUAUGCUGUGAUUCCAGGCAGUGACCAGACGGGCCUCUCCAUCAGAAUUUUCAGAGCGAAAUGCGAGGGAGCGCAUCUGUCCUCUCCAGGACCACUACCACUGGCUCUGUAUCAUUUGUGACACGGUGGUGCCUCCUGGGAAUUCGUGACUUGCUUUACCUUCAGAGGCAGCAAACCAAUUCAGAUGUUCGUGACCAGAAUCAUGCUUAUGCCAGACGAAGGGGAGUCAGCAGAACAAGGGACUGGCCUUUUGGCAGAAGGCUUUGUACCCAGACAAGCCAAGGUGCGAGUUAACUUCACUGCACCCUAACUGUGUGAACUUGGGCGAGACUUUUCAAUUCUGAGACUCUGUUUCCGUAUUUGAAAAAUGGAGACAAUGAGAACGAGCAUCCCUUUACAACGGCGCGCCUCGGAAAACCCUGGAAGACUUCGUGUCAUUUGCACCCCUAGCACGGUAACAACUGUAAUUAUGCGUCUUUGAUCACGUUUUCCCCAAAGGAGAGUUUCACUGGAAUCACUUCAGGGUCGUCAAAAAACACGUGUGCCGGGGACCCCCACUACAGAAAUUAUGAUUUCUUAGUUCUGGGUACAAGGAAGAGGGCACAGCCAAGGGUGAAAUACACACCAUUAAAAAGAGAAUGUUAAACACAGAUGUUGAUUACGUAAACCGAAAUGUCACUUGUUUCUCCCUCAGAAAUGCUCACACACUCUUGUAAUUAAGAGGAGUUUUAUUUAAACACAAUGCUAUCGCAUCCUCCUUUUUUGGACAUAAUAAGCAAUGGCAUUAUUCUAAAAUGUAAUCUAAAGUCUGGUACCAAGCCCCUAGUUUGUACAGCAAAACCAAACCUCCCUGUCUAGAGGACAAAAUCUGGAAACCCUAGUCCACAGGCAAUGUUCCCGCUGCCCAUUUUAAGGGAGAGGUGUGUAGCCACACAGGAAGUUCAUGGGUUUGUUAGGUGUCUGUUGAGAAUACAAAGAUUCUGAAGCACCAGGGAGAGAAGCCCAUCCUGACCACCAAAGACAGUAGCCUUCUUGAUAAAGUAAGGGAAGUGCAUAAUCAAGCUGAUGCUUAAUGAUUUAUCAGUGGAUGGCUGCUAUCAAUCGCCAUGACGUAACUCAUUCCGUUUAACCUGGAAACAGGUCUGCGAGGGAGCUGCUGCUUCCCACUUUACACACGAACAAACUGAGGUUCUGAGCACAGAGGCAAUCUGCCGAGGGUCAUACAGCCGCUAUGUGUGAAAAUGGAAGCAUUUCUUGCUCUUGAGCUCAAGCCCACCAGGACUGCACUUGGUUUAAUUAGAUUUUCUCCAAGCUGCAACGGAAUGAGUGGGAGGAGAGUGUGGACCUCUUUGAAAAGUCGGCCUCUGCAAGGUCAGCGAUGCUACAAUCUCAGUUCCCCGAAUACCCCCUCUAAUCCUUUUGGGAACAAUCCCUGCUGGGGUCAGAGGAGAGGAUAGCGCUUUCUGAAAUUACAAAUGAAGACCAACAAUCAAGCAUAACACAAAGAAUGUUUAUUUCUCAGGCUUACAGAGACUGAUGGGAAUAGAUGGCUCACCUUCUUAAUGUACUGAGCACACGGAACACGGUGCCUUCAAGGUCACUGUGGCAGAAAAAGAGAAAUCGAGAUAGAGACUCUGGAAGCCUGGCAGCAGGCUGCUGUUACCAACUUCAUUCUGAAGGAGCCUGGGAAGCCCCCCAGCAUGCCCAGGAGGAGGAACUGGGAGCCACACACAGAGCACUCAGUCUGUCACAGGAGCUGUUCUCCCUGGGCCCUAGGAAGCCUCUUAUCUCACGAAUCCCAAAUUCCUAUGUCUUAUGACCUGUGGUCUUUCUAUCAAAAGCCACAUCAAACCACACCAACCAGUGCUCACAAAGGUUUAAAAAAAAAAAUCNAACUAUAUCAGCUUCCCAGAGCUGCUAUAACAAAGUAUCACCAACUGGGUGGCUUAAACAGACACGAACUACACUGUCACACAGUCAGCUUAGACCCCAGCCCUCCUCCUCCUGCAGUAUCUAUCUUUAGGAGAGGAGAAAACAGACUGGAAGGAAGCCUAGGUUAUAUCCAUGUGACGUAAAUACAAAAGUUUAAAAAAAAAAAAUCCCUUCUUCAUACAUCCUGGCUAUUUUGCCUGUGGAUUUAUGUCAUGAAAAAGCACUGUUUCAGAAUUUCAAAAACGCAUAUCUAGAUUACUGGCCCUUACUACCUUCCAUACCUGACAUUCAUUCGAUUGACUUAGAAAGACUGGAGGCUCAUUUCUGACCCUCUGCUCUCCGAACGGAUCCUCCAUUCUGGAUGGUCCAUUUCGUAUCACCCAGCGGUCUGCCAAAGUUUACAAGUUGGAACUUUUACUGGGCAUUUUUGCCCAUCACAUCGAGGUUCUUGGCUCUCCUUGCGCUACUUACCGAGUGGCCUCAGGCAUGUGGCCAGACCCCAGUUCAGUGUCUUUCUGGGUAAAACAAAAAGGCUUUUCAUGCUCCAGACCCACAGCAAACAUUAGAAAACUCCUUCUGGAUUUUGCUUGAUGCUAUAAGGGAGGCUGUGUGCGUCUAACUCAGAUAGGGACUUUCGAAAAAGUAGGAAGAUUUUAUACAAACUCAGGUAAGAUGAGCAGGUACGAGGGAUAGAAACAAAUGUGUAACACGUAGGUAUUUCCUAGGAUCCAUGAGGUCAUGGAUUAUAAUAAUAAUAACCGCUAAAGAAUGCUAACUUGAAAAUCUGAAUAAAAUAAGGUGAACUAAAACAAAAUAAACUCUGGGAGUAAGCAACUGACUUUCUGACAAUGAAGAAAAAAAAAAAAAAUGCACCCCUGCCAGGUUUCUGUGCCCUGAGUCAGGGGCUGGAAGCAGCGAUGGCAACUUCCAGGAAGCCUGCUUCUCUCUUUGAACUGUCAACUGUUUGUCUUUGGGAGACAAACAGGGGCUUCUCCAACUUGUCAGCUGCCUUCAGUGCAUUCUCACCUUUAAUAGGACUGAACAAGCCACUCAGCAGGCCCACCUCCUACCUGGAGGAUUCCUGUCUCAGGGGACACCGCCCAUGGCCUGGUAACACAAAAUGCCCCUUGGCACUAUCCUGGGACUGCAUUUGAGCUACCCUGACAGUGAAAUUUGCAUACAUCACCAGGCGGCUGCAUCCACACCCAUACUUGCCUCUGGGCCCUGGAGUCUACAAUGGGCUCCUGAGCCUGGGUGUUGCCUGGCUGGAAGGAGGCCCUACAGAGAGUCUGCUCCUAGGAGGUGAUGGUGUGAAGGGCCUGAGAUUAAAAAUGACAGGCAGUGUUGAAAUGCACAUUUACCACUGAACAGGAAGUCUUCACUGCUGGAAGUUUACCUCCCGAUAUUCUGCAGCUCUCUCUGCCACACCGCUUGGUGUACGGCUAGGGUGCCGACUCCACUCAAGGUAGACUUGGUCAAAGGUACUCUUAUUCCAAAGUGGACAAGGAAAGAGGGAACCGGGGUGGGCGCCCGCCCCUCAGGGAACCUUUUGCCCUAUUAACAACAGCCCAGUUGGGGCCCUGAUGCUUUUCCAAGUUGAGGGGACACAUGCAUACACAGAGCACACGACAGCCAUUCUAAUGUGAAGAGCCAAGACCAGAUAUGCCCAAGAACACACCUACCCACGUGCACACAAGCACACGGAACACGCCCAACUCUGCAAGCGUCUACGCAUGGGUGCUUGUAAGGUAGUGGUGCAGGUGCUUACACACGAGGAACAGCAGGAAGUGGUGUUGAGACGGCUGUGUGGACACCUGAAUAGGGCGCUUUGGGCACCAGUGUUUGCCUCCCUAUGACAGGUGACUUCAAGCGUCCAAUUCAGAAGCAGAGAACAGAAUGGUAGUCGCCUGGAGCUUGGGGGAGAGGUAAGUUUGACGCAAGAUCAAGGAUUUCUGGAGCUCUGCUACACAGCACAGUGUCCACAGCUAGCGAUACUGCACUUACUAUGUUCUAAGAGGGAAGAUCAAAGGUUAAGUGUUCAUACAGUAACAAUAAUAUGACAAUAACACUAAUAAACAGAGUGGGAGAAAACUUUGGGAAGUGACGGCUAUGUCCAUGGCCUUGACGGCGGUGGUCAGGGGUUCGGAGGGGUACAUUCUUCCCCACACUCACUCAGUUGUAUACGUGAACCAUGUACGGGGGUUUUUUAAGACGCUAAUCAUGCCUAUGUUCUAUCUUCUGUAGUGUGAGCAAGAAAAGAAAAGAAAUGGAAAGUUGUUAAGGCCCCCGGAAACAACCACUCAGGCUAGCGACAUCAUCAUCGCAUCGCCAGCAUCGUCAUCACCAAUAUCAGCGUCAUCCUUUCAUCCUCAUCAACGUAUCAGCAUCAUCGGCAUCGUCACCCACGUCAUCAGCAUCAUCAUCAUCCCCUGUCCUCAGUCUCCAGCUGAGGACACCAGUGAGUGAGCCCAUCUUUGAGAAUUUGUUCUCAUGCCCCUUCCUCUCCAAGAGGAACUGCAAAUUGCCUCGGACAGACUGAGAAACUGCCCGGACAGGUAGAGUCGCCGCAGAGUCAGAGUCAAGCCUGUCGGCACAUCCAGCUUAAAUACACAACAGCAACACCAUCCCAAGUGCAAGGAAGCACAGUCUCAGCCUGUAUCUGCAAAGCGAGCUUAGUGAUUCUAAAGCUUCUUUACAGCCACCUGGAAUCCAGGAAUGAGAUUCUUAUUACACGGACAUUAUAAAGCCGCCUUACAGCUGAACAUGCAAGAUAAAGAGGCCUCCACCCUCAUAAGGGGAACACUCCAGCGAGGGAGGCAGGUCUGCAAAGAGACCAGGAGAGUGUGUGGGCGGGUGCUUGCAGGACUUAAACACACAUAAUUAUGAGAACCCGGGAAAGGGGACACGCUAAUCACUGAGGGACGGGUGGCAGGAGACUCCCUGAAGAGGGGUUUCCAGAAGCAGGGAGAGCACAGCUGGGUCUGAGGAUCUGGAUGGUCGGGGAUGAGCAGGUGGGGGAGGCGUCCCUGGAGCUCCUGGGUGUGGCCGCAGCUCAGGGCUCGCAGACAAGGCUGCUGGAGAUGAACCUGGGAGGCAGGCUGGGGAAAGCCUGUGCUUUCACAGCUCCCGCCCGCUUGAUCAGGGGCUAUGGCCAAGUCACCAAAACGGAAGGUCGCCUUCAAAGGGAUCCACUGCUAGGCUAUCUUCAGAGCUCAGCUUGCCCCAAGAAGCUCUCCCUGACGCUCUGCGUGGAUAAGCAAUGAGGCCCUGCUGUAUAGCACUGGGAACCAGAUCUACUCAUUUAUGAUGGAAGACAAUGUGAGAAAAAAUAUAUAUAUAAUGUAUGUGUGACUGCGUCAGUUUGCUGUACAGUAGAAGUUGACAGAACACUGUAAACCCACUAUAAUGGAAAAAAUAAAAAUCAUUUUUAAAAAUAAAAUGGCACACUGCUGUAGAGAGGAAGGUAUAUCUAAUGCACUUACUGCCAUUUUUUUUUUUUUUUUUUUUUUUUUAUCAUCAACGUCUGAAAGUGCAACUCAACACAGAAACUGGGCGCCUUGGCAGUGUCGGUAGGAGCCCAGCCCCUUCCUCCUGAGCGGCAGCUGGUGGCCUCAUCAGGAGGGUCAUUUGGAGCCAGCUCCCUGGGCACCUAGAUGGGACAUAGGAGCCUGCUUCCCUCCCACCACAGAGCAGGGGACAGGCCUGCUCCUACAAUUGUGGCCUUCACAAUUGUGAAUUCAAGAAACCCAGUUACAUA
RNAcentral lists this long non-coding RNA (7184 nucleotides) under Sus scrofa (pig). RNAcentral describes it as "lncRNA (ENSSSCG00015058357.1)". Lineage: Eukaryota; Metazoa; Chordata; Mammalia; Artiodactyla; Suidae. The record is from RNAcentral.